This 83-nucleotide transfer RNA is filed under the name Pseudoscardovia suis. Its description in RNAcentral is "Bifidobacterium sp. DPTE4 tRNA". It matches the Rfam family "tRNA". Rfam says of the family: Transfer RNA (tRNA) molecules are approximately 80 nucleotides in length. Their secondary structure includes four short double-helical elements and three loops (D, anti-codon, and T loops). RNAcentral also lists the same sequence under 1 other name. The record is from Rfam by way of RNAcentral. Lineage: Bacteria; Bacillati; Actinomycetota; Actinomycetes; Bifidobacteriales; Bifidobacteriaceae.
GGACAGGUGUCCGAGCGGUCUAAGGAGACGGUCUUGAAAACCGUUGGGCGUAAGCCCCGCGAGUUCGAAUCUCGCCCUGUCCG